AGUUGCGUGAAGGUAGAGCACUGAAUAUGUGAUGGCCCCAUCUCGGGGUACUGAGCAUAAUCAAACUGCGAAUGUCACGCCAACAUGCUCGGCAGUCAGACAGCGGGUGAUAAGGUCCGUUGUCAAGAGGGAAACAGCCCAGACCAUCAGCUAAGGUCCCAAAAUGUAUGCUAAGUGGAAAAGGAUGUGGAGAUGUACAGACAACUAGGAGGUUGGCUCAGAAGCAGCCAUCCUUUAAAGAGUGCGUAACAGCUCACUAGUCGAAUGACUCUGCGCCGAUAAUUUACCGGGGCUAAGCAUACUACCGAAGCUAUGGAUCCCAAGGGAUGGUAGGGGAGCGUUCCAUGAACGGAGAAGCGCGAUCGAGAGGACGCGUGGAGAUCAUGGAAGAGAGAAUGCCGGUGUGAGUAGCGGAACGUGGGUGAGAAUCCCACGCACCGAAAACCCAAGGUUUCCAGAGGAAGGUUCGUCCGCUCUGGGUAAGUCGGGACCUAAGGCGAGGCCGAAAGGCGUAGUCGAUGGACAACAGGUAGAGAUUCCUGUACCCGUAUAUAUGUGAAGGAAUGACGGAGAGAGGAAGCUGCAGCCAGCGGCUGGAAGAGCUGGUGCAAGCGAGAUAUCGGGAUGGCAGGCAAAUCCACCAUCCGAAACGAGAAGGCGUGAAGCGUACGGAAAGCUACGGCGAGUACGGAAGGCAGUGGAGGAACUUCCAAGAAAAGUUUCUAACGUAAAGUAUAUAUGGCCCGUACCGAAAAUGGACACACAUGGGUGAGGAGAGAAUCCUAAGGUGAGCGAGAGAACUAUAGCUAAGGAACUCUGCAAAAUGACUCCGUAACUUAGGGAGAAGGAGUGCUCAUAGAGAUAUGAGCCGCAGUGAAACGGCCCAAGCGACUGUUUACCAAAAACACAGCUCUCUGCUAAGCCGCAAGGCGAAGUAUAGGGGGUGACGCCUGCCCGGUGCUGGAAGGUUAAGGGGAGGGGUUAACGCAAGUGAAGCCCUGAACUGAAGCCCCAGUAAACGGCGGCCGUAACUAUAACGGUCCUAAGGUAGCGAAAUUCCUUGUCAGGUAAGUUCUGACCCGCACGAAAGGCGUAACGAUUUGGGCGCUGUCUCAGCUGUAGACUCGGUGAAGUCUUAGUACCUGUGAAGAUGCAGGUUACCCGCGACUAGACGGAAAGACCCCAUGGAGCUUCACUGCAGGUUGAUAUUGGGAUUUGAUGCAGCAUGUACAGGAUAGGUAGGAGGCAAAGAGAUGGAUACGCCAGUAUUCAAGGAGCCGCUGUUGGGAUACUACCCCUGUUGUAUUGGAUUUCUAACCGGACGACGUAGAGCCGUUGACGGGACAGUGUCAGUCGGGCAGUUUGACUGGGGCGGUCGCCUCCCAAAGAGUAACGGAGGCGCCCAAAGAUACCCUCAGCUUGGAUGGAAACCAAGCGCAGAGUGCAAAGGCAAAAGGGUGUUUGACUGCGAGACCCACAAGUCGAGCAGGGACGAAAGUCGGGCUUAGUGAUCCGGCGGUGCUGAAUGGAAAGGCCGUCGCUCAACGGAUAAAAGCUACCCUG
This 1563-nucleotide ribosomal RNA is filed under the name human gut metagenome. RNAcentral describes it as "bacterial LSU rRNA". It matches the Rfam family "Bacterial large subunit ribosomal RNA", at positions 890 to 2470 of the family's 2925-position model. The record is from RNAcentral.